The sequence is a small nuclear RNA, 164 nucleotides long. Its record names the gene U1. It matches the Rfam family "U1 spliceosomal RNA". Rfam says of the family: U1 is a small nuclear RNA (snRNA) component of the spliceosome (involved in pre-mRNA splicing). Its 5' end forms complementary base pairs with the 5' splice junction, thus defining the 5' donor site of an intron. There are significant differences in sequence and secondary structure between metazoan and yeast U1 snRNAs, the latter being much longer (568 nucleotides as compared to 164 nucleotides in human). The record is from Ensembl.
AUACUUACCUGGCAGGGGAGAUACCAUGAUCACGAAUGUGGUUUUCCCAGGGCGAGGCUUAUCCAUUGCACUCCGGAUGUGCUGACCCCUGCGAUUUCCCCAAAUGUGGGAAACUCGACUGCAUAAUUUGUGGUAGUGGGGGACUGCGUUCGCGCUUUCCCCUG